This 293-nucleotide ribosomal RNA is filed under the name uncultured bacterium. RNAcentral's name for it is "partial 16S ribosomal RNA". It matches the Rfam family "Bacterial small subunit ribosomal RNA", at positions 333 to 637 of the family's 1533-position model. The record is from RNAcentral.
UAAAUCCUACGGGACGCAGCAGUCGAGAAUCAUUCACAAUGGGGGAAACCCUGAUGGUGCGACGCCGCGUGGGGGAAUGAAGGUCUUCGGAUUGUAAACCCCUGUCAUGUGGGAGCAAAUUAAAGAGAUAGUACCACAAGAGGAAGAGACGGCUAACUCUGUGCCAGCAGCCGCGGUAAUACAGAGGUCUCAAGCGUUGUUCGGAAUCACUGGGCGUAAAGCGUGCGUAGGCUGUUUCGUAAGUCGUGUGUGAAAGGCGCGGGCUCAACCCGCGGACGGCACCUGAUACUGCG